AACGAACGCUGGCGGCAUGCCUAACACAUGCCAGUCGAACGAGACCUUCGGGUCUAGUGGCGCACGGGUGCGUAACGCGUGGGAACCUGCCCUUAGGUUCGGAAUAACUCCCCGAAAGGGGUGCUAAUACCGGAUAAUGUCUUCGGACCAAAGAUUUAUCGCCUUUGGAUGGGCCCGCGUUGGAUUAGCUAGUUGGUAGGGUAAAAGCCUACCAAGGCGACGAUCCAUAGCUGGUCUGAGAGGAUGAUCAGCCACGCUGGGACUGAGACACGGCCCAGACUCCUACGGGAGGCAGCAGUGGGGAAUAUUGGACAAUGGGCGAAAGCCUGAUCCAGCAAUGCCGCGUGAGUGAUGAAGGCCUUAGGGUUGUAAAGCUCUUUUACCCGGGAUGAUAAUGACAGUACCGGGAGAAUAAGCUCCGGCUAACUCCGUG
Molecule: ribosomal RNA, 433 nt
Filed under: uncultured bacterium
Lineage: Bacteria
Description: partial 16S ribosomal RNA
Rfam family: Bacterial small subunit ribosomal RNA
Source: RNAcentral